UUUUUCCAUGGACAGAAUCAAAGUCGCUGGGUGUACAUGUAGUCUUCCGAGUUACUCGUCAGCCCUGAUGAUCCAUCGAAUAUACAGGAAUGUAUGAUAGAUGCAGAAUCACCGAAGGGUCGAUUUAAAAGUAAUCGAAGGCUGGAGGAAACAUAUGCAAUGUGUUGAACGCCA
Molecule: long non-coding RNA, 174 nt
Organism: Solenopsis invicta (red fire ant)
Lineage: Eukaryota; Metazoa; Arthropoda; Insecta; Hymenoptera; Formicidae
Exons: 2
Source: RefSeq, a predicted model, not a curated record